CUUGGUCAUUUAGAGGAAGUAAAAGUCGUAACAAGGUCUCCGUAGGUGAACCUGCGGAGGGAUCAUUACACAAAUAUGAAGGCGGGCUGGAACCUCUCGGGGUUACAGCCUUGCUGAAUUAUUCACCCUUGUCUUUUGCGUACUUCUUGUUUCCUUGGUGGGUUCGCCCACCACUAGGACAAACAUAAACCUUUUGUAAUUGCAAUCAGCGUCAGUAACAAAUUAAUAAUUACAACUUUCAACAACGGAUCUCUUGGUUCUGGCAUCGAUGAAGAACGCAGCGAAAUGCGAUAAGUAGUGUGAAUUGCAGAAUUCAGUGAAUCAUCGAAUCUUUGAACGCACAUUGCGCCCUUUGGUAUUCCAAAGGGCAUGCCUGUUCGAGCGUCAUUUGUACCCUCAAGCUUUGCUUGGUGUUGGGCGUCUUGUCUCUAGCUUUGCUGGAGACUCGCCUUAAAGUAAUUGGCAGCCGGCCUACUGGUUUCGGAGCGCAGCACAAGUCGCACUCUCUAUCAGCAAAGGUCUAGCAUCCAUUAAGCCUUUUUUUCAACUUUUGACCUCGGAUCAGGUAGGGAUACCCGC
RNAcentral lists this ribosomal RNA (579 nucleotides) under uncultured fungus. RNAcentral's name for it is "eukaryotic LSU rRNA". The stretch from base 234 to 387 matches the Rfam family "5.8S ribosomal RNA". Lineage: Eukaryota; Fungi. The record is from RNAcentral.